Molecule: ribosomal RNA, 771 nt
Filed under: uncultured Gigaspora
Lineage: Eukaryota; Fungi; Glomeromycota; Glomeromycetes; Diversisporales; Gigasporaceae
Description: SSU rRNA
Rfam family: Eukaryotic small subunit ribosomal RNA
Source: RNAcentral
GGCCUACCAUGGUUUUAACGGGUAACGGGGAAUUAGGGUUCGAUUCCGGAGAGGGAGCCUGAGAAACGGCUACCACAUCCAAGGAAGGCAGCAGGCGCGCAAAUUACCCAAUCCCGAUACGGGGAGGUAGUGACAAUAAAUAACAAUACAGGGCUCUUAUGGGUCUUGUAAUUGGAAUGAGUACAAUUUAAAUCCCUUAACGAGGAACAAUUGGAGGGCAAGUCUGGUGCCAGCAGCCGCGGUAAUUCCAGCUCCAAUAGCGUAUAUUAAAGUUGUUGCAGUUAAAAAGCUCGUAGUUGAAUUUCGGGGUUCUACCGUUGGUCGGGCUAUAGUCUGUACUGGCGUGUGGAAUUUCUACCUUCUGGGGAACUAUCAUGUUAUUAAUUUAGCGUGGUAGGAAACCAGAACCUUUACCUUGAAAAAAUUAGAGUGUUCAAAGCAGGCUUACGUCUGAAUACAUUAGCAUGGAAUAAUAAAAUAGGACGGUGGUCCUGUUUUGUUGGUUUCUGAAUCACCGUAAUGAUUAAUAGGGAUAGUUGGGGGCAUUAGUAUUCAAUUGUCAGAGGUGAAAUUCUUGGAUUUAUUGAAGACUAACUUCUGCGAAAGCAUUUGCCAAGGAUGUUUUCAUUAAUCAGGAACGAAAGUUAGGGGAUCGAAGACGAUCAGAUACCGUCGUAGUCUUAACCAUAAACUAUGCCGACUAGGAAUCGGACGAUGUUAAUUUUUCUUGACUCGUUCGGCGCCUUACGGGAAACCAAAGUGUUUGGGUUC